Molecule: ribosomal RNA, 497 nt
Filed under: uncultured bacterium
Lineage: Bacteria
Description: partial 16S ribosomal RNA
Rfam family: Bacterial small subunit ribosomal RNA
Source: RNAcentral
AGUGAACGCUGGCGGCGUGCCUAAUACAUGCAAGUCGAACGCGAAAGUCCUUCGGGAUGAGUAAAGUGGCGCACGGGUGAGUAAUACAUGGGAACAUGCCCUUGGAUGGGGAAUAACGUUUGGAAACGAACGCUAAUACCGCAUAAUCUCGCGAGAGUAAAGGUGGCGCCGCAAGGGCUACCGUCCAAGGAUUGGCCCAUGUCCCAUUAGCUAGUUGGCGGGGUAAUGGCCCACCAAGGCAACGAUGGGUAUGUGGUCUGAGAGGAUGAUCACACACACUGGAACUGAGACACGGUCCAUACUCCUACGGGAGGCAGCAGUAGGGAAUAUUGCACAAUGGGGGAAACCCUGAUGCAGCAACGCCGCGUGAGUGAAGAAGGCCCUUGGGUUGUAAAGCUCUUUAGCGUGGGAGGAAGGUAGAUACGGUGAAUAAUCGUGUUUGCUGACGGUACCACGAGAAUAAGCACCGGCUAAUUUCGUGCCAGCAGCCGCGGUAA